Molecule: ribosomal RNA, 984 nt
Filed under: Elusimicrobiota bacterium
Lineage: Bacteria; Pseudomonadati; Elusimicrobiota
Description: bacterial SSU rRNA
Rfam family: Bacterial small subunit ribosomal RNA
Source: RNAcentral
AGAGUUUGAUCCUGGCUCAGAGUUAACGCUGGCGGCGUGCCUAACACAUGCAAGUCGAGCGAAGAGUACCAGAGUACCGGGCUCUUAGCGGCAGACGGGUGAGUAAUACUUAAACAAUCUGCCCUCGAAUGGGAGACAACCAAGCGAAAGUUUGGCUAAUACCCCAUACAAUCCUCUUGAGGCAUCUCAAGGGGAUGAAAGGCCCGCAAGGGUCGUUCGAGGAGGAGUUUGAGUCCUAUCAGCUAGUUGGCGGUGUAACAGACCACCAAGGCUAUGACGGGUAGCCGAUCUAAAAGGAUGACCGGCCACAAGGGCACUGAGACACGGGCCCUACUCCUACGGGAGGCAGCAGUGGGGAAUUUUGGACAAUGGACGAAAGUCUGAUCCAGCGACGCCGCGUGAAGGACGAAGGUUUUCGGAUCGUAAACUUCUUUUGCAGGGGACGAAUACGCGCAAGCGUUUGACGGUACUCUGCGAAUAAGCCACGGCUAACUACGUGCCAGCAGCCGCGGUAAUACGUAGGUGGCGAGCGUUACUCGGAAUUACUAGGCGUAAAGCGCGUGUAGGCGGGAGCUUAAGUUUGCUGUUAAAUCUCGUGGCUCAACCACGAAAUGCCGGCGAAUACUGGGCUUCUUGAAUUCGGUAGAGGUAACUGGAAUUCCAGGUGUAGCGGUGAAAUGCGUAGAUAUCUGGAAGAACGCCAAAGGCGAAGGCAGGUUACUGGGCCGCAAUUGACGCUGAGACGCGAAAGCUAGGGGAGCAAACAGGAUUAGAUACCCUGGUAGUCCUAGCCGUAAACGAUGUAGACCAGGUGUGGGAGGUAUCGACCCCUUCCGUGCCGACGCUAACGCAUUAAGUCUACCGCCUGGGGAGUACGGCCGCAAGGUUAAAACUCAAAGGAAUUGACGGGGGCCCGCACAAGCGGUGGAUCAUGUGGUUUAAUUCGACGCCACGCGAAGAACCUUACCUGGGCUCGAACGACUA